RNAcentral lists this small nuclear RNA (169 nucleotides) under Echinops telfairi (small Madagascar hedgehog). RNAcentral describes it as "U2 spliceosomal RNA (ENSETEG00000023979.1)". It matches the Rfam family "U2 spliceosomal RNA". Rfam says of the family: U2 is a small nuclear RNA (snRNA) component of the spliceosome (involved in pre-mRNA splicing). Complementary binding between U2 snRNA (in an area lying towards the 5' end but 3' to hairpin I) and the branchpoint sequence (BPS) of the intron results the bulging out of an unpaired adenosine, on the BPS, which initiates a nucleophilic attack at the intronic 5' splice site, thus starting the first of two transesterification reactions that mediate splicing. The record is from RNAcentral. Lineage: Eukaryota; Metazoa; Chordata; Mammalia; Afrosoricida; Tenrecidae.
AUUGCUUCUCGGCCUUUGGGCUAAGAUCAAGUGUAGUAUCUGUUCUUAUCAGUUUAAUAUCUGAUACGUCCUCUAUCCGAGGACAAUAUAUUAAAUGGAUUUUUGGAGUAGGGAGAUGAAAUAGGAGCUUGCUCUGUCCACUCCACGCAUCGACCUGGGUGCACCCCCU